This 445-nucleotide ribosomal RNA is filed under the name uncultured bacterium. RNAcentral describes it as "bacterial SSU rRNA". It matches the Rfam family "Bacterial small subunit ribosomal RNA", at positions 354 to 796 of the family's 1533-position model. The record is from RNAcentral.
GUGAGGAAUAUUGCGCAAUGGAGGCAACUCUGACGCAGCCAUGCCGCGUGCAGGAAGAAGGCGCUACGCGUUGUAAACUGCUUUUAACCGGGAAGAAACCCCAGGACGUGUCCUGGGUUGACGGUACCGGAGGAAUAAGCACCGGCUAACUUCGUGCCAGCAGCCGCGGUAAUACGAAGGGUGCAAGCGUUAUCCGGAUUCAUUGGGUUUAAAGGGUGCGUAGGCGGAGCGUUAAGUCAGUGGUGAAAUCCUGCAGCUUAACUGUAGACUUGCCAUUGAUACUGGCGCUCUUGAGUGCGCUUGACGUGGGCGAAAUGUGCCGUGUAGCGGUGAAAUGCUUAGAUAUGGCACAGAACACCAAGUGCGAAGGCAGCUCACUAAGGCGAUACUGACGCUGAGGCACGAAAGCGUGGGGAUCGAACAGGAUUAGAAACCCUAGUAGUCC